Molecule: ribosomal RNA, 301 nt
Filed under: uncultured bacterium
Lineage: Bacteria
Description: partial 16S ribosomal RNA
Rfam family: Bacterial small subunit ribosomal RNA
Source: RNAcentral
CAGCAGCCGCGGGAACACGGAGGGUGCGAGCGUUGUCCGGAUUUAUUGGGUUUAAAGGGUGCGUAGGUGGCUUUAUAAGUCAGUGGUGAAAUACGGUUGCUCAACAAUCGAGGUGCCAUUGAUACUGUAGAGCUUGAAAUAAUUGGAGGCUGCCGGAAUGGAUGGUGUAGCGGUGAAAUGCAUAGAUAUCAUCCAGAACACCGAUUGCGAAGGCAGGUGGCUACGAUUUGUUUGACACUGAGGCACGAAAGCAUGGGGAGCAAACAGGAUUAGAUACCCCAGUAGUCCCUGUCUCUUAUAC